AAGUCGUAACAAGGUUUCCGUAGGUGAACCUGCGGAAGGAUCAUUAACACGUAUCCAAACGUAUCAACCAACCCUGUGAACCUGUUGUCUCCCUUUGCAGUCGAAUUUUUCGAUAGGAAGCAUACUGCUUGUAUGGAUGGUCGGGGAAGCACUCUUGUCAUGAGAGCUGUGUUACUCGCAUCAGUAUGUGAUUGUAAUUAUCAAUGUAUUCUUGCAUUGAUGUCACACGUCGACUUCUGCAAGGGCUUUUGUUCUCUAUUGAGCUUUCACGUCCGUAAGCAAAAUAGAGGACGCUUUUUUUCAUAUCAACCAUUUUCACCCCGUUUUUAAACAGUUGAUUUAUCAUGUGAAUCUUUACGCAAGUUUGGAUUCCACGUUCUUAAUUGAACACAAAUACAACUCUUAGCAAUGGAUGUCUAGGUUCUC
Molecule: unclassified non-coding RNA, 426 nt
Filed under: fungal sp.
Lineage: Eukaryota; Fungi
Description: partial internal transcribed spacer region
Rfam family: Eukaryotic small subunit ribosomal RNA (bases 1-46)
Source: RNAcentral